This 4375-nucleotide long non-coding RNA is filed under the name Sus scrofa (pig). RNAcentral describes it as "lncRNA (ENSSSCG00055010899.1)". The record is from RNAcentral. Lineage: Eukaryota; Metazoa; Chordata; Mammalia; Artiodactyla; Suidae.
GCAUAUGGAGUUCCCAGACCAGGGAUUAAAUCCAAGCCCAUCUGCAACCUAAACCGCAGCUGGGUCCUUAUCCCACUCCCAGUUGGGGAUCGAACCCACAUCCCAGUGUUCCCAAGGACCACAGAUCAAUCCCAUUGAGCCACAGCAGUAACUCCAUAAAACUGCUUUUAAUAAUUUCUGUUUAUCUCAUAGGAUACACCUUCCCCCUUUUUAAAGUUUUAUUAAAACUGUUUUCCAAUGAUAGCCAAGAAUGCCAAUGUAGUUAUCCUACUGCAGCAUUAUACUUCACUUAUUAUUUUUAUGUUCACUACAAGCAUUGUAUUGCGGAUUAUUUUGAUUUCUGAUUCUAAUGAUUUCUAUUAAAUUUUAGAUACAAAAAUGAUAGGAAAAUAUGGAGUUCCUGUCGUGGCCCGGUGGUUAGUGAAUCCGAGUAGGAACCAUGAGGUUGCGGGUUUGAUUCCUGGCCUUGCUCAGUGGGUUAAGGAUCUGGUGUUGCUGUGAGCUGUGGUGUAGGUGGCAGAUGCAGCUAGAAUCCUGAGCUGCUCUGGCGUAGGCUUUCGGCUGCAGCUCCGAUUGGACCCCUAGGCUGGGAAGUUCCAUAUGGCCUCAGGUGCGGCCCUAGAAAAGACAAAAAGACAAAAAAAUAGAAAUAUUGUUUUUUUAUGUGUGGUGGGAUUUUUAUGUUAUGGAUAAAGAGCUUAUAUUUUUCUUAUUUUACCAGUAACUUUUGCAUAAUUAACUUAUAUGUUAAUAUGAAUACAUUAUUAAUAUGUAUAUUGCCUGUACAAACUACAUGGCAAGCUAGUCAUAGCAAUGGAAUUUCAGAACAAAAAGAGUCAGUUGAAACAUCUCUGUAAUAAGAUUAGAUCUUUUUUUUUUUUUUUGAAAAAAGAUUAACAUCUUCCUUUUAAAAAGGCUUAGAACAACAUUUGCUCAUUAACCUGGGUAGUGAAGGCCAAGAAAGAGGAAAAGAGAGACGCUGAAUUCUGGAGAAAGUUGUUAAUAAGCAUUUACUGCUAGGGUCAGUGAAGAGGCACAGAACUAUAUUAUUUCAUUUUCUCCUGCAAAAGUUCAUUUUGUUGAGAGCAGAUCAAGUUUAUAUUAUGCUUGAAACUAGAAAAAGUUUAAUUUUUUAAGGAGAAAUUAUCUUAGUAACUAAAAAUGUAGAACAUUAAUUUUUGUUUACUUUUAAAUUUCAGAUGAGAGUUUAAAAGAAUGAGGGGAGAAGAAGCUUCUCGAAAAUACUUUUGGCUUUCUCUCUGUUCUCUUGCAAGCAAUUUAUAGUAUUCCAUGUCAUUGUAAAUAUAUGAAUUAAGGAAGAUUAAUCUGCAGCCUGCCAUUAUAACAGAGAAACGCUUAGCUUCAACACACUAGAUUCUAACAAGCAUUAGCAGAAGCCUCAGGGCAGCUGUAAACAAUGCUUAUUGACUCAUAAAAGAAAAACAAAAAUCCAGGGAAAGUUGGUUUCUGUAGCUUUAAAAAAAAUUUUUUUUGGUGUAGUUUGAAUGCUUUGGGGAUGUCUGUACUGAUAGAAUGGAAUGUUUUCAGUAUAUCUUUUUCAGGAGAAUGAAAAGCAUGACGUGGAAGCCAAAUAAAGGAAUGCUUUGUGAAACCGCCUCUGCCUUUUCACCUCAAUGAAAAGAGUCAGAACAGCACAAAAAUCCUGGGAAAUACUGUGAUUUUUUAAAUAGGAUAUUCUGUAAAUAACUGAGAGAAGGAUAUUUUUAAUCAAACAAAAGAUAUUGCCCAUCUUAAUUAUAUUUGAAGAAACCAAGAUGUGCAUUAAUUUACCCUCCACAGAUACUUAUGAAGUAUUUAUGUUAUUACUGGCUGUGCAUAUAUACAUAUGUAAACAUGAUGUACAAAUAUCAGCCAGUCCUUGUGCACAUACAUCAGGGAUGCUGUGGUGGGUAAAUCAAAUAGAGUCUCAGUUCUCUUGGAACUUACAGGAGGAGAAACAAACAAUAAUCAAGUUAACAAAUGAUAUCAUAUCAGAUACAAAGAGGUGCUACAAAGUAGAGUCCAUCAGGGAAGUGUACUAGAGGUGGUGACUUGGAAUGAGAGGGGGAGGGUCAGGACAAGCCUCUUGGAGGAAGUGGCCUUUGAGCUGAGACUUGAAGGAUGAGAGAGUUAGCAGUAAGACAUUUGAGGGGGUGAGCAUUCAAAGUAGAAGAAAUUGUGAUGGCAAAAGCUCUGAGAUGGGAAUGAUCUUGACCCGAUUCUGGGGUUACGUGAAGGUCACCAUGGUUAGAGUCCAGUGAGUGAGGGAAAGGGGGAGGAAAAAAGAUCUCAGAGGUAGGCAGGGGCCCGGGAAAGGAGUCUGGGCUUUAUUCUAAGUGUGUUAGAAGACACUGGUGGAUUUAAAACAGGGCAGUGACAUAAUAUGGCCUUUUUUUUUUAAAGAUUACAUUGUCUGCUCUGUGAACAAUGGAUAAGAGGAUGAGAGUGGAAGCAGGGAAACCAGAGAGGAUACUUUGGCAGUGGGUCCAGUGAGGGUGAUGAAGUCUUUCCAGUAUAAUGGAAACUGCAGAGAGGGAGAGAAAUAAAAGACCCAGGAUAUAUUUGGAAGCAGACUUGAUGGAUGGGUUGGGAUGUGUGUUCAAUCCCUGGCCUCACUCACUCAGUUAAGAACCCAGCGUUGCUGUGAGCUGUGGUGUAGGUCGCAGACAGGGCUUGGAUCUGGCCUUGCUAUGGCUAUGGUGUAGGUUGCAGAUGCAGCUCAAAUUUGACCCCUAAACUGGGACCUUCUAUAUGCCACAGGUGCGGCCCUAAAAAAGAAAAAAAAAAAGUCCAAUUCAAGGGAGAGAUCAUGCCAAAGAAACACAUUUGGGAACUAUCAGCAUGUGGAUGGUAUUUUAAGUCAAUGGGAUGGAUGAGAUCACCUAGGGAGUGUGUGCAGAUAGACAAGCACACUUGGCAUUCCCAUUGUGGAGCAGCGGAAACAAAUCCGACUAGGAACCAUGAGGUUAUGGGUUCAAUCCCUGGCCUUGCUCGGUGGGUCAAGGACCCGGUGUUGCCAUGAGCUGUGGUGUAGGUCGCAGACACGGCUUGGAUAUGGAAUUGCUGUGGCUGUGGUGUAGGCCGGUGGCUGCAGCUCCAAUUAGACCCCUAGCCUAGGAACCUCCACAUGCUGCGGGUAUGGCCCUAAAAAGCAAAAAAAAAAAAGAACAUUCAGGAUAGAAUUAAAAGUUUUUAGUCAUUUAGUUAUGUGGCAGAGGAAGAGAAACUAACAGUUUUACACACACACACACACGCACAGAGAUCUUCCUUAACAAUGAGGUUAUGCUCUGAUAAACUCAUCCUAAGUCAAAAAUACAUUUAAUGUACCUAACCUACCGAACAUUACAGCUUAGCUUAGACUAACCUAUCUUAUUUUUUAAAGAUUUUUAUUUUUUCCAUUAUAGUUGAUUUACAGUGUUCUGUCAAUUUCUACUGUGCAGCAAAGUGACCCAGUCAUAUACACACAUAUAUAUAUAUAUUCUUUUUCUCACAUUAUCCUCCAUCAUGUUCCUAGAUAUAGUUCUUUCUACUAUACAGCAGAAUCUCAUUGCUAGACUAACCUAUCUUAAAAUGCUCAGAACGAUUAUAUUAGGCUACAGUUGGGCAAAAUUAUCUUACACAAAACUUAUAAUGAAACUAUGAACACCUCAUGUAAUUUAUUGAGUACUGCACUAGAAGUGAAGAGCAGAACGGCUGUCAAUGUAUUGGUUGUUUACCCUCCUAAUCACGUGGUUGAUUGGGAGCUGCAUCAUACUACUCACUGACAGCCCAGGAAAGAUCAAAAUGUGAAGUACCAUUUCUACUGAAAGCAUUAUCAUGUUUGCAUUGUUAUAAUGUCAAAUCAGCAUAAGUAGAACCAUCCCAAGUCAGGGCUGUCUGUACAUAUACACACAUAGAGAAAGAUGUAUAUAACUAUAUAACUAUAGCUACAUGUGUGUGUGUAUAUAUGGCUUUUUUUUUCUGAAAUGCUUAGCUUGCAGAUAUGAUGCCCUUUCCCCAACUAAAUACUUCAGAGUAUGUAUGUACAUAUAAAUGUAUAUGUACAGUUGACCCUUGACCCUUGGGGGGUUAUAGGCAGCAUCCCUAGUGCUGACGAGGUUCCAAGUAUAACAUUACAGUCAGCCCUCCCGUACCUGAGGUUCUGCAGCCAUGAAUGAAUUCAACCAACCACAAAUCAUGCAGCACUGGAUAUGGUGUUGCCGCUAGCUGUGGUGUGGGUCGCAGAUGCAGGCUCAGAUCCCGGGUUGCUGUGACUCUGGUGUAGGCCUCUGGCUACAGCUCCGAUUAGACCCCUAGCCUGGGAGCCUCCAUAUGCCAUGGGAGCGGCUCAAGGAAAGGCAAAAAGACAAAAAAAAAAAAAAAAAAAAAAAAAAAA